UUGGAAGGUCAAUCUUAAAUGCUGUAUAGGAGGAUCUCAUUGAGAAGAUAUCAUUUGAGCAAAGAUGUAAAGCAAGGGAGGGAAUGAGUCAGUGGCUACAUAGCGAGAGUGUCCUAGGCAGAGGAAACAGCUUCUACAAAAGCCCUGAAGCAAGAGAAUGUUUGAAGUGUUCAAGAAUAAACAGGAGAUGCAGAAUGAAUGGAAUUGAGAGUGAGUGAGGCAGUCGGAUACAAGAGAGACUAAUAUGGGGCAGCACUGAAGACUGCUGACAGCAGCCACAUGAGUGAGCUCAGAGUGGACACAACAGCCCCUUCAGAGGCUGCAGGGAUGGCAGACAGCCUGACUGCAAUGUCGUGAAAGAUGCUGAGGCAGAACCAUGCAGCAAAGUCAUUCCCAGAUUCCUGACUCUCAGAAAAUUGUUACUUUAGAGAAGUCUGAACUUGCCCUUUUUUUCAUCUUUAUGCCUGAGGAAAUUUUUCUUUAUCAUCAAAGAACUCUGAGAAUUGAUGGGCACUGUGUUAGAGCAAGUGGGAAGUAUAGACACAGCUUCCCAUGUUAAGCACGAGCAAGAAGAAAAUAAUUUGAAUGGAAACUAUUCAAAUAUAUCACAGUGAUCAAAGAUUUAAAAGUGGAUGAAAAGAGACAGCUCAAGAACCCAAUUCAGAAGACAGCAUAGCUCAAGGAGUAAGCGGUGAACCCAGGCUUCCUGAUAUCAACAUCAUCCAAGGUGACUUUCUGGAAUAAAAGAGGAAUGUGAGAACAUCUGGUAGGGGAUGGCUCAAUAAAGAAAAAGUACAGGGAAUACCCAGCAGCCAAUCUGAAACUGCCAUUCAUAAAGAACUCAUCACAUAGGGAAAGGGCAUAUGGAGUUAUUAAGAAAAAGAACAGAAAGAGUGGGGAAGCUGCAAAAAUGAGUCCUCUGUGUUCAGCCACGUUCCCUGCCAUGUC
This 948-nucleotide long non-coding RNA is filed under the name Homo sapiens (human). Its description in RNAcentral is "HSALNT0314060". Lineage: Eukaryota; Metazoa; Chordata; Mammalia; Primates; Hominidae. The record is from RNAcentral.